RNAcentral lists this ribosomal RNA (433 nucleotides) under uncultured bacterium. RNAcentral describes it as "partial 16S ribosomal RNA". It matches the Rfam family "Bacterial small subunit ribosomal RNA", at positions 29 to 507 of the family's 1533-position model. The record is from RNAcentral.
AACGAACGCUGGCGGCAUGCCUAACACAUGCAAGUCGAACGAGACCUUCGGGUCUAGUGGCGCACGGGUGCGUAACGCGUGGGAACCUGCCCUUAGGUUCGGAAUAACUCCCCGAAAGGGGUGCUAAUACCGGAUAAUGUCUUCGGACCAAAGAUUUAUCGCCUUUGGAUGGGCCCGCGUUGGAUUAGCUAGUUGGUAGGGUAAAAGCCUACCAAGGCGACGAUCCAUAGCUGGUCUGAGAGGAUUAUCAGCCACACUGGGACUGAGACACGGCCCAGACUCCUACGGGAGGCAGCAGUGGGGAAUAUUGGACAAUGGGCGAAGGCCUGAUCCAGCAAUGCCGCGUGAGUGAUGAAGGCCUUAGGGUUGUAAAGCUCUUUUACCCGGGAUGAUAAUGACAGUACCGGGAGAAUAAGCUCCGGCUAACUCCGUG